CCACAAGCGGGAUCAGCAUAUUCGCCUACUCUCCAGGCUUUCGGUUGCAUGAACUUUGACGAUUUCGAAGGGAAACGAAGCGCACGCCCUCCGUAUCGGGGCUCGCCCCACUCCACCGGGAAAACGUGUGUAUGUGCGUUAGGAUUUUCUUCUUGCAAGAGGUCUUUGCUAACUCGACGGGAAAAUUCGGGCAAAUUGGUUUGAUCGAGGAGCGGCCAAUUGUAUUCUACAAGCUAAGGAUGCUGCUGCAGCUCCUAAAAAAUACUGUUCAUGUCAACUAAACAAGGAUCUGUGAGGAAUUAUUUUUUAUAGGAUUAAUGAAUUAUAGAAAUUAAAAAAAAAUGAAGUAUACGUACUAUUUUAUUGCUUUAUCAAUGUUGUUGAUGUCAAUACCUUGUACCGUGUCUUUCUUUACAGUGCCUCAUAACCUAACUGACAUCGAUAUGAUAUAGCUUGUACGGUUAUUAUAAAUCUCUUACAUAUCAGUUAUUAUAAAAUUCUUAUAUACCACAGCCAUAAUGUUAUUUAUUGAAAUAAAAUCACUAAUGCAUCAAUGUAUAA
Non-coding RNA from Osmia lignaria (orchard mason bee), 561 nucleotides. NCBI's taxonomy places the organism in Eukaryota, Metazoa, Arthropoda, Insecta, Hymenoptera, Megachilidae. The record is from RefSeq and is a predicted model, not a curated record.